UACGGAGGAGGCAAGCGUUAUCCGGAAUUAUUGGGCGUAAAGCGUCCGUAGGUGGUUUAGUAAGUCUGCUGUUAAAGCGCGGGGCUUAACUCCGUAUCGGCAGUGGAAACUACUAGACUAGAGUGUGGUAGGGGUAGAGGGAAUUCCCAGUGUAGCGGUGAAAUGCGUAGAGAUCAGGAAGAACACCGGUGGCGAAAGCGCUCUGCUGGACCUUAACUGACACUGAGGGACGAAAGCUAGGGGAGCGAAUGGG
RNAcentral lists this ribosomal RNA (253 nucleotides) under uncultured bacterium. Its description in RNAcentral is "partial 16S ribosomal RNA". It matches the Rfam family "Bacterial small subunit ribosomal RNA", at positions 524 to 776 of the family's 1533-position model. The record is from RNAcentral.